Molecule: ribosomal RNA, 574 nt
Filed under: Hanseniaspora uvarum
Lineage: Eukaryota; Fungi; Ascomycota; Saccharomycetes; Saccharomycodales; Saccharomycodaceae
Description: LSU rRNA
Rfam family: Eukaryotic large subunit ribosomal RNA
Source: RNAcentral
UUAGUAACGGCGAGUGAAGCGGUAAAAGCUCAAAUUUGAAAUCUGGUACUUUCAGUGCCCGAGUUGUAAUUGGUAGAAUUUGUCUUUGAUUAGGUCCUUGUCUAUGUUCCUUGGAACAGGACGUCAUAGAGGGUGAGAAUCCCGUUUGGCGAGGAUACCUUUUCUCUGUAAGACUUUUUCGAAGAGUCGAGUUGUUUGGGAAUGCAGCUCAAAGUGGGUGGUAAAUUCCAUCUAAAGCUAAAUAUUGGCGAGAGACCGAUAGCGAACAAGUACAGUGAUGGAAAGAUGAAAAGAACUUUGAAAAGAGAGUGAAAAAGUACGUGAAAUUGUUGAAAGGGAAGGGCAUUUGAUCAGACAUGGUGUUUUUUGCAUGCACUCGCCUCUCGUGGGCUUGGGCCUCUCAAAAAUUUCACUGGGCCAACAUCAAUUCUGGCAGCAGGAUAAAUCAUUAAGAAUGUAGCUACUUCGGAAGUGUUAUAGCUUUUUGGAAUACUGUUAGCCGGGAUUGAGGACUGCGCUUCGGCAAGGAUGUUGGCAUAAUGGUUAAAUGCCGCCCGUCUUGAAACACAGACCA